GUCCUCUCAGGGUCACACCUGGGGAGUUUCCAGUACUCUAACAGCCUUGGUUACGAGAGAGAGAGAGUCAAGCAGAGGCCUACCCAUUCCAUUCCUAGCUUGGCUAGUGGCUAGCGAGUGGAAGGCAAUCUGCCACAAGU
This is a small nucleolar RNA of Ornithorhynchus anatinus (platypus), 140 nucleotides long. The record is from RefSeq and is a predicted model, not a curated record. Lineage: Eukaryota; Metazoa; Chordata; Mammalia; Monotremata; Ornithorhynchidae.